Amphiprion ocellaris (clown anemonefish) is the source of this 964-nucleotide long non-coding RNA. RefSeq lists it as uncharacterized. The record is from RefSeq and is a predicted model, not a curated record. The transcript is spliced from 2 exons. Lineage: Eukaryota; Metazoa; Chordata; Actinopteri; Pomacentridae.
AUGCCCCGUACACGUCUGUCACACACUCAUCAAAACUGCAUAAUGAAUAUAAUAAAACACAGGAAAUAUUAAGGGCAGCCAUUUUCCUCUUCGUAGGACCCACGUAGCGAGGACCCGAUGCCAGGUCCAGUGGACAGACUUCAGACGUCUCUGUGUGUCCGGUCCUGUCCGGUCCUGUCUCUGGUUGCCAGGUUACAGACGCUGCUGCACCCGCACGUUUAAAAAUGUCUACACCUGAAACUCCACCACGUCUAAAGAAGCAAAAACGUUUGCGAAUGUACAGACUGGAGUGGGAAGAGUGGAACCCCUGGCAAUGGAUACAAGGCAAACUGUGUUUUCUGUUGCUCAUGGACUGGCUGAAGUAAGGCAGCAUCAGGAGACAAACAUGGAGGAAAUAUGAGAACAGAGAGAACCCAACCAGCAGGUCACAGUUUAUCAUCAUCUAAUCAUCUCCUGAAGUCCAUAUGGUCCCUCUCUAUCUCCCCACACAUCCACCAACCACUGGAACACAUCUCCAAAGUUCUGCUGGACCAGCUCAGCUUCCCCUCAGAAGAAGUGGCGCCACCUGCCAGAUGAAGGAGCCUUUUGAGAGGCAGCUGGCAUCGUGAUUGGACUGUACUUUGGUCUGUUCCAAUCCAGCUUCAGCUCCAGAGACGGCAGGCGGGACGAGUCAACGGAGGCCGGGUGGACGAAGGCAUGAAGCUGAGUACAAUCCAGAAAACAACAGAAGAGGAGUGCAGGGCCAGAACAACCAGAGUAGCACAUUAUGUCUCUUAGAAAACAUCAUAGUAUAGCCUUUGGUAUGAAAAAACACCAUCAUAUACAUCGUAUAUUGUACAAAUAACAAGUCAAAGGAAAGAGACAUACAUUGUAGAAUUGUAGUAAUUGUGGGCUGACUGAUUUACUGAUUAUCAGUAUUUUAUUUUUUACUGAUUUAUGGUAAUAAAUCAAUUUAAAAAUGGUG